This 900-nucleotide ribosomal RNA is filed under the name uncultured bacterium. RNAcentral describes it as "bacterial SSU rRNA". It matches the Rfam family "Bacterial small subunit ribosomal RNA", at positions 44 to 960 of the family's 1533-position model. The record is from RNAcentral.
AUGCUUAACACAUGCAAGUCAACUUGAAUUUGGGUUUUUAACUUAGGUUUGGGUGGCGGACGGGUGAGUAACGCGUAAAGAACUUGCCUCACAGCUAGGGACAACAUUUGGAAACGAAUGCUAAUACCUAAUAUUAUGAUAAUAGGGCAUCCUAUAAUUAUGAAAGCUAUAAGCGCUGUGAGAGAGCUUUGCGUCCCAUUAGCUAGUUGGAGAGGUAACGGCUCACCAAGGCGAUGAUGGGUAGCCGGCCUGAGAGGGUGAUCGGCCACAAGGGGACUGAGACACGGCCCUUACUCCUACGGGAGGCAGCAGUGGGGAAUAUUGGACAAUGGACCAAGAGUCUGAUCCAGCAAUUCUGUGUGCACGAUGAAGUUUUUCGGAAUGUAAAGUGCUUUCAGUUGGGAAGAAAUAAAUGACGGUACCAACAGAAGAAGUGACGGCUAAAUACGUGCCAGCAGCCGCGGUAAUACGUAUGUCACGAGCGUUAUCCGGAUUUAUUGGGCGUAAAGCGCGUCUAGGUGGUUAUGUAAGUCUGAUGUGAAAAUGCAGGGCUCAACUCUGUAUUGCGUUGGAAACUGUAUAACUAGAGUACUGGAGAGGUAAGCGGAACUACAAGUGUAGAGGUGAAAUUCGUAGAUAUUUGUAGGAAUGCCGAUGGGGAAGCCAGCUUACUGGACAGAUACUGACGCUGAAGCGCGAAAGCGUGGGUAGCAAACAGGAUUAGAUACCCUGGUAGUCCACGCCGUAAACGAUGAUUACUAGGUGUUGGGGGUCGAACCUCAGCGCCCAAGCAAACGCGAUAAGUAAUCCGCCUGGGGAGUACGUACGCAAGUAUGAAACUCAAAGGAAUUGACGGGGACCCGCACAAGCGGUGGAGCAUGUGGUUUAAUUCGACGCAAC